This 22-nucleotide non-coding RNA is filed under the name Arabidopsis thaliana (thale cress). The record is from RNAcentral. Lineage: Eukaryota; Viridiplantae; Streptophyta; Magnoliopsida; Brassicales; Brassicaceae.
CUUGUAAGCUCCUUCUGCACCU